CACAUGGAUCGGUCCGGCUAUGAGAGCCCCAGCAUCAGAGACUGGAGUGUGGAAACAGGAAGAGGAGGAGAGGGGAAGAAAGGAGCCAAGAGGAGAGGAUCGGGUGAGACGAGGUGGCGAGGGAGGACAAGGGGCAGCAGAGGGGCGUGUGGACGUAACAAAACAAAACAAAAAACGAAGACAUUAAGAAAAUAAAGCUAGCCGAGGAUGAGCACGUCUAUUUAAAGGGAUCGGAGACUGCACUGGCCAGCCGUCUUUCUAUUCCUGACCGACACCAUCGUUGGAUUUGGACCAGAGAGACUCUGACUCCCCCUCUUCUCUCAGUGCUCGCUGCGAGGUGUGAAGUGGAGGGCCCCCUCAACUACAGACCAAGACUGGCUGCAUGUAUCACCCAGCAGAGCUGUACUCUGGCCGUAACACAUGGGACUCCUAUCCAGCUGGAGGGCCUAACAGAGGACAAUGGGCUCCUGAACACGGUCGCCUCUGGAGCCACGCAAACCGAUGCCAAGAAGGGCGCAAUCAAUCACAUCAUCCGCUACCAAGUCGUCUUUAUAAUAGGGGGGAGCGAACAGUUAACCAUGUUCAGGACAAAGGGAUCUCAAAGGGGCACAGGCAGCAUCCGCGUCUCUGGGACAGUAAAGAGCAGCAGUUUGAGGCCCAGAACUGGCAUCACAACUCCACACGCUCCUUCCACAACCGGGCUGCCCCUAACAACGGUUAUCUAACCGGACCCGCAGAGCGCUACGCCACCUGGGACAACAAUGUCGGCAACUCUGUGAACGGGGGUUCUCGUCCGCAUCGCAACAACAGAGAGCUCCAUUCCCCGCCAGAGAGAUGGGCCCCCUCAGACUGCCGCAGGAGCUUCCCAGGCAGAAUGAUAAACAACCGGCCGGGGCCCUGGAAGCGGCCUGCCCUCCAUCAGCGGCGAGACCAAUUACACCAGCACAGCCCACCCCCACAGCACCCUUUGUCCCCGAGGGAAGAGUGUCCUGCUAAGAGGAGAAGGGAUUCUGGCUCGGAUCAGUCAUCUCUCCCUGGAUCAAGACAUUUACCUUUACUUGCCCACACACCGUCACCACCUCGCCACCACCGCUGUCACCAAGAUGACUGGAAGCCUCUCAAUGACAGGGCGGGUCCUUGCCACCACUCUGACCACAGGACCUCGACAACGCAGCAACAGGAAACCUCUAAACUUCGAGCUGGAGGACACGGCUUCGCUGACGGUGACCCAGCAGCUCCAAACCAGAGCUGUGGCAGCAGGCCGCCACAUCACGGAAGCCGAGGGAAGGUCGAGCGGAAAAUCUUGUCUUCACCAGCAGACCACACCCGUGUGCCUUACAGCCACCAAAACCACCAUUACCACUAUCAACGGCACACAGGCCGCCCCCGAGCCCCACAGCACAACCUGCCGCUAUACCCUCUAGAGGAGAGGGACUCACGGAGCCAUCACCACAAACAAAGCACAGAAUCUCAACGCACUCAUCACAGAGGCAUUUCAAGGGAUCCAGCCAUCUCCCAUUCUUCUGGUGCAGACUCUCCUCCCUAUUCGCCCCUCCUCUGCAGCCCUAAAGAUGGAGGCUCCACUGCCAGCAGUCCACCUGCCCCCUCCAGCCCUUCUUCAUACAUGGCAGCCAUCGGCAGAAAAGAUCCAUCAAUCAUUCAUCAGUUUAGCCCUGGCCUCAGUGGACAGCAGAAACUCCAGGGGAGCACAGCCAGACCCAGCCUGACAUCCGCCAUGUCUGUCACAGCUCACGGCGGUCCAAAAUCCAGGUUCUCAGACAUCAAGUACAGAAAGACUUCGCAGCCCCUCUGCUCACGGCUGCUCCCGCACGGCAGAUCGAGAGCAAACAAGCUCGACGCGGAGCUGGAAGAACACAAGAACCCUGAGUGCAAACAAAAAGAUAAGCUGGGGAAAAAGGAGAGAAAGGGAGAUGUUCAAAAGACAAACAGAAAGGGCGAGGAAAGAAGAAGGCGGAAGAAAAAAGAGGAGAGGAGGUUGGGAGAACGUAAAAAGAAAAGAGAUAAGGCGGUGAAAAAAGAAAGAAAGUUGGGCUUGAAAAUCACAAAGAAGGAAACGUGCACCACCAUGUCCAGCUCUUCAGUAGAGGUCAAAAUGAGUAAAAUGGAGACUACAACUCUGACCCCCGAGAGUCGAAGCCAGUCAACACCCAAACACAAGCACAGGGCGAGGAGUGAACGAGCAGAGGGGACACACAGGCCGUCUGCCAAUACGCCUCACCACAGCUCGAAAUCGGAAAAAAAUCACAAAAUGUCCAAAAACAACAACAGUCCCAAGAAACUCCCCGUCAAGAAACUUCUAAUGAAGCCUCCUCCCAACCGGACCAGCAAGAAGCCCAGCGUCGUCCCGUCCCAGUCGGAAGACGGACCAAAAGAAAAGCCUGAUGACGCUCUCCCUUCACUUUUAUUCAAGGCCUUAGCACCUCUCAGUGCAGCAUGUUCCGUUAGCUUAGCGCAGCCCAUCCAUGGCAAGGACGUUGGCCAGGGGGGAGGUCUCAACGCCCCGGACCUCCAGCCUGUGGCGGUGAUGGGCAAUUUGAGGGAAAUGGGAGACAACCUUGCAAACACGCCUCCUGUUCUGAGCUGGCAGGGCUCUCCGGUGUCAGACCUGGAGGAGGACGAGGACGAGCUAGACAAGGGAGUGAUAAGCAGACCUGUCCUCCAGCCCAGCCCCACCCAGUGUUUCUCUCCUCCACCCGUCGACGACGAGAGCACAGAUGAUACGGAGAAGGAGCCGCGCGAAAGCAUGUCCACAGACAACCGUGACGGGCCUGAAUUCUGCGAUCUGCCUUGCACAACUGAACAAGUCGCUGAGGAGGAAACAAAAGAGGACGUGGACAGCAGCGGGGAAACCUCGGGCUCUCUUCUCCGCGAGCUUUGCCACCAUAAAGCGGGACUGGACGAUGUCUUCAAGAGCCUGGCCACCUUUCUCGGGGGCCAGAGGGUCUCGUGUCGAGGCGGUCCGUUUGGCGGGCCUACGGAUAACACCGCAAGAGGGGUGAAGCUCUCCUCUUCUCUCGCUUUUGAGCCAGACAUCCACUGUCAUGAGCAUCACGAUUUCUCCCCCGAAUCAAACCCAGCAGCACCACCCUCCAAACCCACCAGUCAAUCACCAACUCACACUACCUCCGCCGCACUGUUGAAAUCCCACAGUAAAACAGAACUGAGCGAGCCUGUCGCGGACGCCCUGGUGCACGAGAAGCAGGAAGAGACGGAGAGUGACAUGAAAAUAAAACAAGAGGGAAAGGACACAGAGAUCCUCCCUGACAGGAUUGAGUCGUCCCUUUUGAACGGGUCCCUGAGUGCAGAGCUGAGACUGACCACCACGAACGCAGCCUCGUUCACCGGCCUCCUCACCGUUUCUGCCAAGGAAGAGCGAGAGCACAGCAAAGAGCCCGAACGCAGAUGUGCAGAGAGAAAAAGAAAACAAAAGGAUAAGGAUGGGGGACGAGAAGGCGAGAUCAAGAUUAAGAUAAAGAGAGAGGAAAGCAGCGUCGUGUGUCCUAAGGACAAAGUAAAUGAAAUGAAGGAUUCGGAAAAAAGGAAGGUUUCGUCCUCAGAGCCAGUCAUCUCCAGAAGCUCACCCAGACCUCUCAAAGAUCGAAUGAAGGGCCAGAUUCCUCAGGAAAAUCAAUCCCCACAUGGCAAGGGCAGCCCAAGAGAAAAGGACCGCGCUGGGAACAUUGAGGCAAAGGUAGCGACAGAGAAGGAGGAAGUGGUCACUGAGUUAGAAGACAAGAAAUCCUCAGCAGCUAGAAACACAGAUACCAAGACCUCCAGCUCAGCGUCGACUGUAACAAUCAAUGCGUCCAAACUAUGUGUCUCAACACCAGCAAGCAAACCCCCCCGCCCAUUAGGUCCAGUCGAUCCACUGAAACUCAAAGCCUUGUCCAUGGGUCUGUGUAAGGAGCUGAAGAUCCUCCUGAUCAAAGUGGAGAGUGCCGGGAGACAAACGUUCAACAUAUCAGAGGUGGAGGAGCAAAGAAUCCCACUUUCCAAGAUCAACAUCGGGAACACGGCAACCGAAGUGAUCAGAUCGUGCAAGGGGACAAGAGUGAAGGGGAAAUUCAAAGAGUCCUUCCUGCUUUCCACUUUCUCUGUUAAACCCAACAUCGACAUCAAGACCCUGAUUCCUCGAGAAAAGCUCAACCCUCCUACACCAAGUAUCUAUUUGGAGAGCAAGCGGGACGCCUUCUCUCCAGUUCUGCUUCAGUUCUGCACCAAUCCCAAAAAUGCUGUCACUGUCAUCAGAGGCCUUGCUGGCUCCCUCCGCCUUAACCUUGGUCUGUUCUCCACCAAAUCGCUGGUGGAGGCCAACGCGGAACAUGCGGUGGAAGUGAGGACUCAGGUUCAGCAGCCCGCUGAUGAGAACUGGGAUUCCAGUGGCUCAGCACAGACGUGGCCCUGCGAAAGCAGUCGCUCGCACACCACCAUCGCCAAAUACGCCCAGUACCAGGCCUCCAGCUUCCAGGAGAGCUUGCAGGAGGAGAAGGAGAGUGAGAAUGAAGAGGAAGGAGAGCAAACCAAGACCCCAGACCCCUCAGCCACCGCUAAAGCUGUUCUGAUGUUAGCCAACAGCAAAGGCAGUCCCACCUCAACCACCAUCAAAGCCAAUUCUGCUCAGUCCACCAGCACACCCAGCCCAGAGCAGAAAAUGGUCGGAAAGAUCAUUAAAUUUGGGACCAAUAUUGACCUCUCGGACCCUAAAAGGUGGAAGCCCCAGCUGCAGGAGCUGCUGAAGCUGCCAGCUUUCAUGAGAGUGGAAUCCAGCAACAACAUGCUCAGUCAUGUCGGUCACACCAUCCUGGGCAUGAACACUGUCCAGCUCUACAUGAAGGUGCCGGGCAGCCGCACGCCAGGUCACCAAGAGAACAACAACUUCUCCUCUGUCAACAUCAAUAUCGGACCUGGCGACUGUGAGUGGUUUGCCGUCCACGAGCACUACUGGGAAGAUAUCAACAGAUUCUGUGAGAAGCAUGGGGUAGAUUACCUCACAGGGUCCUGGUGGCCGGUCCUGGAAGACCUCUACAGCUCCAACAUCCCUGUAUAUCGCUUCAUUCAGAGGCCGGGCGACCUGGUGUGGAUCAAUGCCGGCACUGUGCACUGGGUCCAGGCGGUGGGCUGGUGCAACAACAUCGCCUGGAAUGUGGGACCACUCAACUCGUUCCAAUAUCAACUCGCCCUGGAGCGCUUCGAGUGGAACGAGGUGAAGAAGGUUAAGUCGAUCGUUCCCAUGAUCCACGUUUCCUGGAAUGUGGCUCGCACCAUCAAGAUCACCGAUCAGGAUACAUUCAAGAUGAUCAAACACUGCCUGAUGCAGUCCAUCAAGCACAUCCAGAUUCUGAGAGACCAGCUGGUGGGUGCGGGGAAGAAGAUCUGUUACCAGAGCCGCGUGAAGGACGAGCCGGCCUACUACUGCAACGAUUGUGAUGUGGAGGUGUUCGACCUGCUCUUUGUGACCAGUGAGACCAGCAGCAAGAAGACCUACGUGGUGCACUGUGAGGACUGCGCCCGAGCUAAGAGCCCGCCUCUGGCAGGAGUGGUGGUGCUGGAACAGUAUCGGAUGGAGGAGCUGAUGAAAACCUACGACAGCUUCACUCUGCAGCAGACUCAAGGGCUUUCCAAGAGGUCUUUGGAAUAAAAGGGAAUGAAACUUGCACAAAGAAUUAAUGCAAACGAUUUUCCCUCUAUGUUGGAUUACCUGCUGUUUCCAGAGCAGAUUUCAAGUGUGCACGUCAAGGCUCCUACACCCCUUUCAAAGUGAGGACUCCUCCCCGGCGUCUUUCAGCCAUAACCAAAACUCUAAUGGCAGCACAAAUGUUGCCUUCAAGGCAAUCUCUUCCUGCAAACACUUUCUGAAUCAGCCAAUCACGUUUACUCAGUAUUGUUUACAUCACACAAUAAGGUAUGGAUACUCAGCCAAACCAACUAUAGCUCACUGUCUUCCCCAUACCAGCUGCUGAUUGGACGUGUGGUUUUGAAAAUAGAAUGACUAGACUGGUACUUCUCAUGUAAAGCAUUUUCAGUCGUGUACAAAAAAGAAGAAACAAAAAACAAUGUGAGCACUGCUAACACUGAAAAUCAGGUUAUAUAUUUAACGGACACUGCUGUGAUUCAAAAGCGUCAAGUAGCCAGUUCUGUGUAUUAAUUCAGGUACUUUUAUGCAAAUUCUGUAGAACUUUUUUACACCAAUCUAGUAAUUCUAUAUGUCCAUGAAUUUGCUGUGAUUUCAUUGUACCAGCAGGGGAAUCGCUUCACAGGAGAAGUAGCUGAUUGUCACAUUUGGCAUCGUUUUGGUUAUUUGUUUUUGUUGGUUAUUCAGGUAAACUCUGACAUUUGUGAUUCCUGUCUGUGAACUUUAUGAGGUGCUAUUACACUUUUAUUUAAUCUUGUUAGAUACUUAAAAAAAGCUUUACCAGCCUAGAAGUACACCACAUUGGCCUUGUGAACUGUAUUUAGAAGAGAGGUAAUUAGAGGAUUAAACACACACUAAAAAGUUUUUAUGUAAGUAUAAAUAAAAAGCGAAUCAAAAACUUUUAUCAGUUUCUCUAAAAUACGGGUUUACUAGAGGACUAAUAUGGUUUCAUUCUUAGUUGGAAAUGAAGUACGUAGAUGGGAAAUUUGUAUUUUAUUUUAUUUGUUUUUAUUUCACAAAUCCAGCUAAAUAUUUGUUGGCGUUGAUACUAUGGUACACCCAGAAAGCAGACAGUGUUGUUUUUUUAUUUUUUGAAAUGGAAAACAAUCUGUUUUAUACCUCUUUUGUUUCUAUGUUCUUGUUUUCUAGAUGACAGAGAAAAUAAAUAAUUGUAAAUUGUGAAUGAAUUUAUGGGAAACGUGGUGUGCAUAGAUGGAAUAUGGGGGUAGGUGAGUGGGGUGGGGGGUUAAAUUAAUUGUUUCCAUUCUGCCCCAAACAACUGUCUGUGAGGCUCAGCUCCGUGAACCGCCACUGGGUUUGAUAUGCUGAAUUUACAGUCUAACAUGCUGAAGAGUACACGUCAAAACAUUUUUUUUUUGUUUGUUUCAUUUAUUUUGUCUGUCUUUUCAUCAGCACUUAUUGUGUUGAAGCUACAUAGUUUGAACUUUGGCUUUUAAAUUCCAUGUUCCAAUUCCAAUGGUUGUUUUUCUCUCAGUUUAAUUUGUUGAUUUACUGUAGGUACUGUUUUUUUUAAUUACUUGUUUUUGUCAUGAUCUUGUAUUUUGUAUUUAGUCACAAAAAGUAUAGCAACCAUUAGUACUUUUCCUAUAAACCCAUAACAUUAACAAACAAUAUGGAUCAGGAUCUCUUCUUUCUGGAGAAUCAUGCUCCCUGCUGGAUGUUCAGCAUUACUGAGCCCCUCCCCCGAUGCCUUUUACUACCUUUAGCUCCCUCAUUAGUCUGUGCACAUCAUUUCAUGUAUAUAAUGUAUCUGUUUCCAGGUUCACUAGAAGACUCAUGUAGUUUUGUUCUCAAUCAAAUAUCUCAUUUGUAUAUGGUCCAAUGUGUCCACCUCAGUCUUUUGUUUUUGUUGUUGCUAUAUUAUAACACAUAAAAUACCCUGUUUCACUCUAGUGUAAAUUACUGCAAUUGGGAUUUUUCUCCCACUUUUAUACCUCUUUUUGUUGUGGGUUUCUGAUUUUUGGAUUACAGAGAAAAUGGAAAAUUGUAAAUUGUGACAUUAUUUAUACUGUAAAUGGUGGUUUUCUUAUAUAUUUAUUGCAUUUCAUGGGUACUUCACUUGAUAAAGGGGCUACAAGGUAUUUUGAAAGUGUAGUAUAAUUAUAAUGUAUGGAUAAGGGAAGUGCAAUCAGGGGGGCGGUUUAAUUUUCAUGGUGCUAGACCCCCCCUUGCCUCAAUGCCCCCUCAUUAAACAGCAUACUGUUAAAUUAUGUAUGAACAUAAGUAACUGAUACAGCUCAAACCAACCAGUUGGUGCUUAGAACCAUUUCAGCAGUUUACUGGUUAAAGAAAUGGAAUGAUGUCUUUGUACUGUAUCGAACGGAUAAAUUAAAUCUUCUUUUUUUAAACUUUAUUUCCAUUGUAUGAAAUUCAUAAUCUUGUGAAGCAUUAGUGGUUUUAUGAUGAGCAUUAGUGGUUGUUGUAAUUCUUCACUCUUUUGCUGAGACUUCUAGGGAUGUGACUUUUAAUGGCGUCUGGGUUUUGUUUUUUGUGUCUUGUCCUCAUUACAGGCAUUCAUUUUUUUUUGAAGGAUGUAAUAAUGAUCUUUUUCUUCUUGACUUGUUUGAUUUAUGCUGCACUUAUUGUUUCAAAAAGAACUCACUCAUAGAAGAAAACCUGAGCCAGACCUGUCUUAAAUUGUAUUGUUGUUCAAGAAAAAUAAAAAUGUUUUGAUAAAUUA
This is an RNA transcript of Scophthalmus maximus (turbot), 8354 nucleotides long. It is a transcript of the gene named lysine-specific demethylase 6B-like, with no coding region annotated. The record is from RefSeq and is a predicted model, not a curated record. NCBI's taxonomy places the organism in Eukaryota, Metazoa, Chordata, Actinopteri, Pleuronectiformes, Scophthalmidae. The transcript has 23 exons.